RNAcentral lists this ribosomal RNA (205 nucleotides) under uncultured Basidiomycota. RNAcentral describes it as "partial 18S ribosomal RNA". Lineage: Eukaryota; Fungi; Basidiomycota. The record is from RNAcentral.
AAAGUGAAAGGAAUUAACUGGGGUUGUAGCUGGCCUUUUCGGAGCAUGUGCACACCUGUGUCAUUCAUUCCAUUCACACCUGCGCCACUUUUCUGUGGGAUGGGUGAGUAAAAUCUCUAUCUCAUGUCUUUCACACACGCUUAAUUUAAUAGAAUGUCAUCUUGCUAUAAACGCAUCUAAUAUAACUUUCAACAACGGAUCUCUU